Long non-coding RNA from Ctenocephalides felis (cat flea), 498 nucleotides. RefSeq lists it as uncharacterized. The record is from RefSeq and is a predicted model, not a curated record. NCBI's taxonomy places the organism in Eukaryota, Metazoa, Arthropoda, Insecta, Siphonaptera, Pulicidae. The transcript has 3 exons.
UGUCGACAAGGUACUACUAAUAAAAUGCAAUAUUACCAUUGAUUAAAAAGGUUGAUGGUAUUGCAAACACAGUUACUGUAAAUAAAGAAAAUAAAAAGAUACAAAACCUUUGAAGUGUCUACAAUAAGAAGGUGAACAAGAGAGAAAUGUCUAUGUCUGCACAGACAAUGUUUACAAGCCACAGAGCUGUGAUAUUUCAAUAUGUAUUGUUGUGAAAGCGGUUAAACGAUUAAAUGAUUAAACAUGUAUAAAGAGUAUCCCUGUUAUUGAUCAGUCAUACCAUAAUAAAAAUCAGCAAACCUUCGAAGCGUCUACAAUAAGGAGGUAAACAAGAUAGAAACCUUUAUGUCGGCACAGGCAUUGUCUACAAGCCACAGCUGUAAUACUUCAACAUGCUGUGAUAGUUCAACAUGUGUUGAUGUGAAAACGGUGAAAUGUUUAAAUGGUUAAACAGAAUGAGAAUGCUCUGAUAUAGGACCAGGAGAACACUCCAAGGAC